This 359-nucleotide transfer-messenger RNA is filed under the name Planctomycetota bacterium. Its description in RNAcentral is "Planctomycetes bacterium (marine metagenome) transfer-messenger RNA". It matches the Rfam family "transfer-messenger RNA". Rfam says of the family: Bacterial tmRNA, also known as 10Sa RNA or SsrA, is named for its dual tRNA and mRNA-like properties. Its role is to liberate the mRNA from a stalled ribosome. The record is from RNAcentral. Lineage: Bacteria; Pseudomonadati; Planctomycetota.
GGGGGCGACACGGCUUCGACCGAGUUUUCGGAAGAUCCGGUUGCGUGCCGAGGUUCCUAGGUGGCCUCGUAAAACCCCUAGGACACACGUAUUUGCCACUCCGCAGUACGCACUCGCUGCUUAGUUAAGAGCUAACAGCCUCCCGCUGAGACCCCGCCCAUGGGACGAGGACGGGAGCCAUAAGAUGGGCUGGCUCCAAACCCAGGCUUCUGGGGGGCGGAGCGAGAACUUCGUGAAGCUUUGCUCUCUAGAGCCGCGUCCGCGGGGCUCGAGGGCGAGAACUUCCCGCGUGACUACGCACGUAGACGCCGUUUUGGAAGAGCUUUGGGACCCGGGUUCGACUCCCGGCGCCUCCAUGU